UGGGGGAUAUUGCGCAAUGGGGGCAACCCUGAUGCAGCGACGCCGCGUGAAGGAUGAAGUAUUUCGGUAUGUAAACUUCUAUCAGCAGGGAAGAAAAUGACGGUACCUGACUAAGAAGCCCCGGCUAACUACGUGCCAGCAGCCGCGGUAAUA
Molecule: ribosomal RNA, 153 nt
Filed under: uncultured Bacillota bacterium
Lineage: Bacteria; Bacillati; Bacillota
Description: uncultured Firmicutes bacterium partial 16S ribosomal RNA
Rfam family: Bacterial small subunit ribosomal RNA
Source: RNAcentral